RNAcentral lists this ribosomal RNA (460 nucleotides) under uncultured bacterium. RNAcentral describes it as "partial 16S ribosomal RNA". It matches the Rfam family "Bacterial small subunit ribosomal RNA", at positions 338 to 795 of the family's 1533-position model. The record is from RNAcentral.
CCUACGUGUGGCUGCAGUGAGGAAUAUUGGUCAAUGGGCGCGAGCCUGAACCAGCCAAGUAGCGUGAAGGAUGACUGCCCUACGGGUUGUAAACUUCUUUUAUCAAGGAAUAAAGUGAGGCACGUGUGCCUUUUUGUAUGUACUUUAUGAAUAAGGAUCGGCUAACUCCGUUCCAGCAGCCGCGGUAAUACGGAGGAUCCGAGAGUUUUCCCGAUUUAUUGGGGUUAAAGGGAGCGUAGAUGGGUUGUUAAGUCAGUUGUGAAAGUUUGCGGCUCAACCGUAAAAUUGCAAUUGAUACUGGCAGUCUUGAGUACAGUUGAGGUAGGCGGAAGGCGUGGUGUAGCGGUGAAAUGCUUAGAUAUCACGAAGAACUCCGAUUGCGAAGGCAGCUUACUAAACUGCCACUGACAUUGAGGCUCGAAAGUGUGGGUAUCAAACAGGAUUAGAUACCCGGGUAGUC